This 213-nucleotide ribosomal RNA is filed under the name uncultured prokaryote. RNAcentral describes it as "partial 16S ribosomal RNA". It matches the Rfam family "Bacterial small subunit ribosomal RNA", at positions 524 to 736 of the family's 1533-position model. The record is from RNAcentral.
UACGGAGGGUGCAAGCGUUAUCCGGAUUUACUGGGUUUAAAGGGUGUGUAGGCGGGCCUUUAAGUCAGUGGUGAAAUCUCCAGGCUCAACCUGGAAACUGCCAUUGAUACUAUUGGUCUUGAAUUCUGUUGAGGUGGGCGGAAUAAGUCAUGUAGCGGUGAAAUGCAUAGAUAUGACUUAGAACACCAAUUGCGAAGGCAGCUCGCUAAACAG